Molecule: long non-coding RNA, 1589 nt
Organism: Triticum dicoccoides
Lineage: Eukaryota; Viridiplantae; Streptophyta; Magnoliopsida; Poales; Poaceae
Exons: 2
Source: RefSeq, a predicted model, not a curated record
UCCAUUCGUCUCCCGAAGUCUCCACCUCCACCUCGUUCUAUUCUGUCGCUAUCUCUCUCAUCCCUAUCUGCACAGGGCCGAGCGGUUGUUGCUUCCUGCGAGAUUUGCCGCCGUGAUACACUACGCGACGUGGGCGGCUUCCCCCGAGCUUGCAGGCACCAGCACCCCACUCCAGCUCCUACCCUCGCCGCCGACGGAGGCCACCACCAGGUGAAGCCUGCGUCGUGGCUUCUCCUCGUCUCUCGGCCGUGCCCCCGGGCUGUCCUGUCAUCCCGGUGCUCGGGAGGUCCGGCGGCGCGUUUCUCGGUGGCCUCCUGCCGGCCGACGGAUCCAGGGCGGCUGCUCCUCUCGCCGCGCCUCCCCGUUACUGCGGCGCGAUGUCCCGCCCCUCCUUACUUUUCUUCCCUCCUCUGAGCUCCAUGGGGACCAGCGCCGCCCAAGUUUCCCCGCCCCCGGGUUCCGGUGAGGGCUGCGGCGAUCCACGGCUGCUGGGCUUCUUUUCCUACGGGGCUGGGGAAUUGGGAGAUGCUCCUGCUGCUGCCAGUCAUGGGGGAUACAUGUUCAGACGGGAGAUGAUGAACCGGGCAAUGCACGCCGCGGCGAGGGGCGACGACCUGAAGAUCCUCAAGGAGCUCCUGCAGGGUUGCUCCAUUGCUGGUGCGUACCAGGACGCCCAGGGCGCCACCAUCUUUCAUGUUGCUGCUUCAAGGGGGCCAAGUUGAGGUGAUUCUGCUUCUGAAUCUUUGAUAUCUGAUUGCCUCAAAGUUACAUCACAUUCCUUUUGGCCUAGUUGAUAUGUCGUUCACCGCUAUAUGUACUAAUCGUAUUAAACAGCAUUAUUUGACCCGAAGUGGCGAUAAACAAAGAUAAAUCUAUUCAACUCUGAGAUUAGUUGCUAGUUUGUGAGACAUCACACAUGAGAGCUUCUGUUUGACAUGAUUGCUGCUAUAAGUUGGUCUUAUGAACAUUCAACAUGCCAUCCAGAGAGAUGGCCAUGGCUGCCCGAUGCCCGAGCGUCGCCGGCCAAGGACCCGCCGGCGUCUAGACCCCCUCCACGCCAUCCCCAUCUCGCCGAAGACCUGCACCAAGUCCCGUCCAGAGCCUGCGCCAUCCUCGGCCCCCGCCCCGCAGCUCUACAGCCCGAGCGCUUCAGCCGCCUCGCACCCGAUGUAGAGGAGAGGAGCUCCCUGCCACGAGCCUCCCUAGCGCUAGCAAACCAGCAGGCCGACCCCGCCUCCUUCUCGCUUCCCUCCUCCUUCCUUUUGCCUCCCGCGGCAUGGCCGCCGUCCCGUGCCCGGCGGUGGAGAAGACAAAUGGAUAAGGCAGUUUAAUUAAAUACUGUGAGUGUAAUUGUAACUAAUAUAGGGGUGUUUUUGUAAAAACGAAGGGUUCUCUCAGAUUCUCACUUAAAGUAGGACUGCGGGUUGAAUUCUGAAAAACGAAGGGGCUUUUCUGUAAAAAUGCCCGACGUACGAACAGAAGCAGUAGGUGCUUUAUUAGUAAAAAAAAAAUAGGUAAAGAUAUAUAUAUAUAUAUAUAUAUGUAAAAAUAAAGAUUAGUAAAGUCGGCGAGAUUUCUCAAAAAAAAAA